Molecule: non-coding RNA, 28 nt
Filed under: Cricetulus griseus (Chinese hamster)
Lineage: Eukaryota; Metazoa; Chordata; Mammalia; Rodentia; Cricetidae
Source: RNAcentral
UCUGUAGGAAAAAAAGAAUUGUUGAGAA